UCUCAAAUUUCUUUCUCACACGAUAUGGAUUCUUCAACAUGUUUUCUCUCUUACUGAUAUGAUAACCAUUUUUACUAUCAUAAUACAUUAUCUGAAAGACCCAGAAGAUGGAGAUGAUGAAACCUUAAUCUUGUUUUUGAUGAUUCACUAGCAGCACAAUGAUUUCUCCUUUCAAAACUCAAGAUUUGCCCAUUUUUUGGUUUCUUUAGGGUAUUUGGGAAUUUGCUCUUGCACUGCUACAUUAUGUGAGCAAACUCUUGUUUAACCAUGGACUGCCAUUUGGCGAUGGUUAUGAUCUCAUCAUGUCAAGAAUUUAGAUGAGAAAGGAAAUUCAACUCGAUGUUGCUACAUGUUGGAGAUGCAAAAGGUGAAAUGGAACUGCAGCCCGAUGUGAUCGCUUAUAGUUAUUUGAUUUGUAGGUUUUUCAAUCAACUUAAAUCAUUGAAAGAAGACCUGCAGUUUUGUAUUUGAUAUGUAGUGACAUUCCAGGCAUAUGUUUCU
Papaver somniferum (opium poppy) is the source of this 501-nucleotide long non-coding RNA. RefSeq lists it as uncharacterized. The transcript has 3 exons. The record is from RefSeq and is a predicted model, not a curated record. NCBI's taxonomy places the organism in Eukaryota, Viridiplantae, Streptophyta, Magnoliopsida, Ranunculales, Papaveraceae.